GGUGCUAUAGUGUAGCGGUUAUCACAGCGGAUUCUGAUGCGGUCGAGUUCCGUUAACCCAGGUUCGAUUCCUGGUAGUACCU
Molecule: non-coding RNA, 82 nt
Organism: Russula brevipes
Lineage: Eukaryota; Fungi; Basidiomycota; Agaricomycetes; Russulales; Russulaceae
Source: the annotation of a GenBank genome assembly